RNAcentral lists this ribosomal RNA (479 nucleotides) under uncultured bacterium. RNAcentral describes it as "partial 16S ribosomal RNA". It matches the Rfam family "Bacterial small subunit ribosomal RNA", at positions 28 to 507 of the family's 1533-position model. The record is from RNAcentral.
GAUGAACGCUGGCGGCGUGCUUAACACAUGCAAGUCGAGCGAGAAGUUUUGAAAAGAUUCUUCGGAUGAAAUUUAAAAUGGAAAGCGGCGGACGGGUGAGUAACGCGUAGGCAACCUGCCCCAUACAAAGGGAUAGCAUUUGGAAACGAAUAUUAAUACCUUAUGAAACUUAACUAGUGCAUGCUAGGUAGGUCAAAGAUUUAUCGGUAUGGGAUGGGCCUGCGUCUGAUUAGCUAGUUGGUGAGGUAACGGCUCACCAAGGCGACGAUCAGUAGCCGACCUGAGAGGGUGAACGGCCGCAUUGGAACUGAGACACGGUCCAAACUCCUACGGGAGGCAGCAGUGGGGAAUAUUGCACAAUGGGGGAAACCCUGAUGCAGCAACGCCGCGUGAACGAUGAAGGCCUUUGGGUCGUAAAGUUCUGUUCUAGGUGAUGAAAACUGACAGUAACCUAGGAGAAAGCCCCGGCUAACUCCGUG